RNAcentral lists this ribosomal RNA (483 nucleotides) under uncultured bacterium. RNAcentral describes it as "bacterial SSU rRNA". It matches the Rfam family "Bacterial small subunit ribosomal RNA", at positions 34 to 507 of the family's 1533-position model. The record is from RNAcentral.
CGCUGGCGGCGUGCUUAACACAUGCAAGUCGAACGAGAGGACAAGAGAAGCUUGCUCUUUGGAAUCGAGUGGCAAACGGGUGAGUAACACGUAAACAACCUGCCUUCAGGAUGGGGACAACAGACGGAAACGACUGCUAAUACCGAAUACGCUUGGGAGACCGCAUGAUCUACCAAGGAAAGGGUGGCCUCUACCUGUAAGCUAUCGCCUGAAGAGGGGGUUUGCGUCUGAUUAGGCAGUUGGUGAGGUUAAACGGGCCCNCCAAACCUACGAUCAGUAGCCGGUCUGAGAGGAUGAACGGCCACACUGGAACUGAGACACGGUCCAGACUCCUACGGGAGGCAGCAGUGGGGAAUCUUCCGCAAUGGGCGAAAGCCUGACGGAGCAACGCCGCGUGAGUGAAGAAGUAUUUCGGUAUGUAAAGCUCUAUCAGCAGGGAAGAAAAUGACGGUACCUGACUAAGAAGCCCCGGCUAACUACGUG